Molecule: long non-coding RNA, 1356 nt
Organism: Neogale vison (American mink)
Lineage: Eukaryota; Metazoa; Chordata; Mammalia; Carnivora; Mustelidae
Exons: 3
Source: RefSeq, a predicted model, not a curated record
UCUUAAUCCACUGAGCCACCCAGGCACCCCUACAAAACGAUUUUAAUCUCUAAAGAAUUUUAUUCUUUUACAUGAACUAAAUACCAGCACGGAACAAAUGGGAUCACCCUGUAGGGUGUUGAAAAUGGGAAUAAGAAAUGAGAGCACUGCUCCUAUUUUGUGGGUAGACGCUAUUUUUAAAACUCGUUGAGCUGGAGAUGCCGCAUAAUCCUGAAGAAGGGCAAAGCAAAUUGCGCCAUGAAGGAUGGAAUUUGACACAUUGAAAUUUUGUUUAAAGACUUUUGUUUUUCAGUAAUCUCUGCACUCCGUGUGGGACUCGAACCCACGAACCUGAGUUCAAAAGUCACUCCCUCCACUGACUGACCUAACCAGGUGCCCCUCGACACUGUAUUGGAUCAUGAUGCUAAGGUUGAGCAUGUUUUCUCAUUAAUAGACACAACAGGGUAAAAAAAAGUAAGUGGACAUUCGUGGGUGAUUUCAGAAGGGAAAGCUCUGAUGCCCUACAAGCAGAGUCAACUGCAGACCCUACAAGAAGAGACAGACCUAACCUUGAAUGCACUUGACCUUGCACGGGAAUGCGUUCCACUCUCCCAGAGGGCGGGAAGACGGGCUUUCCUUAUUCCCACCCCGCCCCCCAACAGCUCAGCCAAUGAGAAGUCAGUAUACUUCCAACUCCCAGUUUACUCCAACGGACUUUUAGUUUAUAACAGCCCUCCCUGCCCCUUUUCUCCAUAAAUGCGUGCAACUGCUUUGUUCUUCAGACUUGCCUGCAGUUUCCGGAGAAGGUUUUUCGGUUUUUUGGUUUGUUUGGGCUUUUUUGGUUCACAGCACUCUUUUAUUCCCCCAGUAAAUCCAUUUUUGCUGGUAAAGGAGCUGGCAGUUUUAUUUUAAGAUCAACACAAUAUUGCAGUGUUAAUGGGACAUAGACCAAAACUGCAAGGAAUUUUACAAGCCAAUUCUACAAAAAGAAGACACUGGUGAGAACCAAAACCUCCGGGACAUAUAAAGGAAGAGAGGCGACACUCACAUGAAGAAGAUGAGGCAGGGACAGAGACUGAGCAGGAGAGCAACACCGGCACACGCGAUGGCCCCCAGAACGAAUCCUCCCUCAAGCUCCGGCUUCCCUGCAGGCUCUGCGCCCAGUGCGGGACUCAUACUCAUGACCCUAAGAUCAAGACUUGCAGGCACCACGGACUGAGCCAGCCAGGCGCCCCAGGCACCUUAACCGGGGUGGUGAGUACCAAGGUGUUCAUUGGAUGGUGAUUCUUUGUAACUUGCCUGUAUUUGAGAAAAAGGCUUUGCAUAUAAUGAAUAGUAAUCAAAGAUCCUGGAGGGGGGCCUCCCAGCUCUGCUCUC